UGGUCUUAACAACUCCGCCCCCCCACUGACGUAAGCGGUUCUUUCCUCUGGCCCAGCAGAGAGUUGGUGCUAGCCUGGAACCGGUUUUUCUGGCCCCAGAGCCAGUUCUUUGUCAGUGGAAACAGAAAACCCGGGUCCAAACUAAGCACUGGCCCCGAACCAGCCCUGGAACUGCUUUGGUGGAAAAGGGGCAAUGGAGGAUGCUUGGACUGAUAAAAGAAACAGACUCUCUGUUGCAAUGGUGAAGGCUGAGCUUCAAGUCAGGCUAAACUUUCAGUUGUCCUGUACUGAGUUCAAGACAUUCAUUGAAAAUCAGCCAGGACUCAGCAGCAGCAAAGAAAAACACCAAAUAUAAAUGGAAGAUUAGCCAAGAGCAGCAGAGGCACAGACAAGCAAAGCACACAGCACACUCUAAGCAAUCAGGAAAACUGGGUGCAAUGUCCUGGAUGUGACACCAGUCCAUAGCAGGGAGCAAAAGAAGUCCUACAGUAAUUUUCACUGAAUGCUCAAUAUACAAGCAAGAACAUUGAAUACCUCUCUACAUCUCCAACUUCAGUUGUGCCUGUGCCAAGUGCUUCCAUCACCUUGUGCUGAGCUUCCUGAGUAAAGCUUCCUAAAGCAGGCAGCCGCAGUGAGGAAAAAGAAAAAAAAAAACA
This is a long non-coding RNA of Neoarius graeffei (lesser salmon catfish), 656 nucleotides long. RefSeq lists it as uncharacterized. The transcript has 3 exons. Lineage: Eukaryota; Metazoa; Chordata; Actinopteri; Siluriformes; Ariidae. The record is from RefSeq and is a predicted model, not a curated record.